Molecule: transfer-messenger RNA, 390 nt
Filed under: Minisyncoccota bacterium
Lineage: Bacteria; Bacillati; Minisyncoccota
Rfam family: transfer-messenger RNA
About the family: Bacterial tmRNA, also known as 10Sa RNA or SsrA, is named for its dual tRNA and mRNA-like properties.
Source: RNAcentral
GGGGAUGAAUUGAAUCGACAUUGGAUUUCAUUUCAUGUGCGCAUGUCGAGCAGGGGACUACUCUCGUUAAUCGUGUCUCAAACACCCAAAUGCAAAAGCAAAUGGUAACAAAGUUGCUUCACCUUACGUGAACAAUUUUGCUUUCGCGAUCGCGUAAUUUACGCCAUCCGAAUGUCACUACUUCUGACUCCUAAUACGGAGAUGGUGGCAUAAUUCAUUAGGAUAGGGGACAGUCGUGCUUCUGAUUGAAACCGAAACUCUUGAAGCUCGAGUAAACAAUAUUUUGAAAGUUUCUUAGCUGUUUACUUUAAACUUCCAAAAUUUUCUAAACAUGUAGAAGCGCCUGGAAUCAUCUAAUGCACGGGGGUUCAAAACCCCCCAUCUCCACAA